CGGAAAUACAACACGCUUGCUCUCCGAAACUCUCGCAUCCUGCACGGGCCACAACCCCGUCCUACACUGAUUAUGCGCCACGAAGAAACCCGACCUGCCCGGCAAUGCAUCACGACGUCCUCGUCUGGCCUCCACGAACCAACCGUCAACACUCCGGCUUGUUGAUUCAGCAAAUGGCAUCAGGAGGAAAAGCCAAAACUCCACGAAGGAUGGCCACAGGGGGACAACAGCAAUGACCUCCAGAUGCGGGAAUGAAACUGUUUGUUAAACCAAGAAGACUGCUGAUCAUCACACCCACACAAACUUUGUACUGACAGUUGAUUAAACUCAACACUCACUGCCUAUAAGAGAGAAACCCACAGAGCAGGCAUCAGCAGGCAGAGUCUCUGGAGCACCGUGGCGCUGGCAUAGCAUAAGAAUUGAUGGUUCUGAUUCCUGAGCCAUUUCCACUACAGUGUCCAUUACUUUUUAAAUUGGCCUCAUUUAAUGGCCAGACUGUGGUCAGUGAGAAUGUGCUUGAAUUUCCCCAUUUGUAUCUCAUUUUGUAAAAAAAUAAAAUAAAACAUUAAACAAAAACCCACUGGGGGAGUACAGAGAUUGAUGAUCGAAAUCACUGGGAGAUUAAAGAGAUUAUAGAGACCAAUGCAGAACAUUGAUAUGGACACUGAAGUUGACAGCAGACUCAGCAAAUCACAACCGUUAACAUUUAAUUUGAGCGAAAUCGCCACUGCAUUGAGGAUGUGAUGUCAUUUGGUUCAAAGGGACUUUACAGACUUUAUUCAACUAAACACGAGAACAAAUUCAGCAGCAUCUUCGGAUUCCCCAGAAGGGGGAGACAGAAUUCCGAGGGAGGAACAGAACUCAAGAAUCAACGAAACUCCAUAGGCUACACUAGGAAACACAGCAACGUGUGUAUCUCCGCAGUCAUGAAUGGUUACAUAUAUGUACAUGCUUGACAACUAUAGCUACCUACAUGUCAAGCGUUUAUGUACUGUUCCCUGUUUAUAUCCUCUGUAGCGAUCAGUCCACUUUUGAAAAUUGAUUGCAGAUAGGAUAUAAGUGCGGAUCCGGAUAUACCGAUAUCUAUGGUCCCUCCCUUUUCCAUACGUGACGUGGCCAAGAAGUUAAACGCGAGUGUGAGGCGACGAGCUUUCUAACAAAUUGAACACCCAGAAAUCCAAUUCCGCUGAAAGAUCAAAUAAACUACGAGCAAUAAUGGUGACGGACGUACAACUAGCGAUUUUCGCCAAUAUGCUUGGCGUUUCGCUUUUCCUGCUGGUGGUACUUUACCAUUACGUUGCUGUCAAUAACCCAAAGAAACUGGAGUGAAUUUGUUGUCCAACUAAUUUGGAAGGGACCAUUCCAAGUGUGAUGAGGCUCCUCGUCUGCCAUCAUGGAACGAUGCACUGUUUCAACCAGCCUGUAAAUUACGAUUUUUUUUUAGGAUUAUGUGAAUAAAAAUAUUCAUGGA
Molecule: RNA transcript, 1471 nt
Organism: Conger conger (European conger)
Lineage: Eukaryota; Metazoa; Chordata; Actinopteri; Anguilliformes; Congridae
Gene: ost4
Gene name: oligosaccharyltransferase complex subunit 4 (non-catalytic)
Exons: 5
Source: RefSeq, a predicted model, not a curated record